GGUGUUAGAGUUUGAUCAUGGCUCAGAUUGAACGCUGGCGGCAGGCCUAACACAUGCAAGUCGGACGGUAGCACAGAGGAGCUUGCUCCUCGGGUGACGAGUGGCGGACGGGUGAGUAAUGUCUGGGGAUCUGCCCGAUAGAGGGGGAUAACCACUGGAAACGGUGGAAUACCGCAUAACGUCGCAAGACCAAAGAGGGGGACCUUCGGGCCUCUCACUAUCAGAUGAACCCAGAUGGGAUUAGCUAGUAGGCGGGGUAACGGCCCACCUAGGCGACGAUCCCUAGCUGGUCUGAGAGGAUGACCAGCCACACUGGAACUGAGACACGGUCCAGACUCCUACGGGAGGCAGCAGUGGGGAAUAUUGCACAAUGGGCGCAAGCCUGAUGCAGCCAUGCCGCGUGUAUGAAGAAGGCCUUCGGUUGUAAAGUACUUUCAGCGGGGAGGAAGGCAGUGAGGUUAAUAACCUUACUGAUUGACGUACCCGCAGAAGAAGCACCGGCUAACUCCGUGCCAGCAGCCGCGGUAAUACGGAGGGUGCAAGCGUUAAUCGGAAUUACUGGGCGUAAAGCGCACGCAGGCGGUCUGUUAAGUCAGAUGUGAAAUCCCCGGGCUUAACCUGGGAACUGCAUUUGAAACUGGCAGGCUUGAGUCUCGUAGAGGGGGGUAGAAUUCCAGGUGUAGCGGUGAAAUGCGUAGAGAUCUGGAGGAAUACCGGUGGCGAAGGCGGCCCCCUGGACGAAGACUGACGCUCAGGUGCGAAAGCGUGGGGGAGCAAACAGGAUUAGAUACCCUGGUAGUCCACGCCGUAAACGAUGUCG
RNAcentral lists this ribosomal RNA (820 nucleotides) under uncultured Pantoea sp. RNAcentral's name for it is "bacterial SSU rRNA". It matches the Rfam family "Bacterial small subunit ribosomal RNA", at positions 1 to 814 of the family's 1533-position model. Lineage: Bacteria; Pseudomonadati; Pseudomonadota; Gammaproteobacteria; Enterobacterales; Erwiniaceae. The record is from RNAcentral.